This is a non-coding RNA of Dermacentor albipictus, 1119 nucleotides long. NCBI's taxonomy places the organism in Eukaryota, Metazoa, Arthropoda, Arachnida, Ixodida, Ixodidae. The record is from RefSeq and is a predicted model, not a curated record.
UGGAAGGUUACUCACUCGCAACCCGGAUGUGACGAAUGCGAAGCAAGUUUGCGUAGCGCUACGCUGGCAACGGAUGUGACGACGACGCGGAAUCGAAGCCUGCCCCCACGGCUCACUUGGCGCCGCGCCAGCUCGCGCCGCCGCCGCUACUGCGUCGCGCCCGCCUGCUGUCUUCGCCCUCCGCUCCCGUCCCUCUCCCACCUCACGCAAGCUCCACCCCGCGCAGCACACGGACUCGAGCCGCGACUCGAGCGUCAGGCAACGGGCUCGCCUAUCGACUGCCGGUGGGGCACCGCGACCUGCAAGGAGGAAUCUGAGAAAGAAAUUGCUUCGACGACCGCUCUAGCUGGGCUGAAGCGGCGAGUUGGCGUUGAGAGAAGGCGAGAGAAUAACAGCGACGUGCCCGUUCGAAGCGGCCGAACGCAGGCGGCGGCCCGUCAAAGCACGCUUCCGACUUGGCGGGCGAACACGCGGUCUCGCCUUGGCGUUGCAUCGCCGGAGGCAUCGCAGCGCCUGUCGGACUGGAAAAAGCUGGGAGCACCGUGCAACGCUGCCGAUUGCGUCGGCGAAGUUAGUGUGUGCGCACAGUGUGUGUGUGUGUAGCCGUACCGUCGUCGCCUGCUGCGCACCGAUUCGUCUCUGGUCUCCGCGCUGCAUCGCUGAGCGUCGUCUGCCCCUGCUUUCGCGCGCGGCAUCUCAUCGUCGCCGUGCGAUCCAGAGCAGAUAGGGAGCGACGCGCGAGGUUCUAAUAACGGCUACGCCGACUUCUGUUGACAGUUGAACGCGUGCUGCUAGCUGCACUUCUCGCGGAUUGUGGUCUCGGUCUGCGCGUGGGACGCGUGAGCACAGCCCUUCUACACCUGGAUUCUUUACGGCGCAGCAGCCGACAGCGCCCACGUCGCGGCAACGCUCAGAGGACACCAAGCGCUCCGUGAUAGCCGGACAUAUUUGUGGAAGACAACAUUCCGACAAAUGCGUGAAGGUACCCGAGGAUUCUCGAACGACCACUCGAAUAUUGCCAAGUCAGAACCCCAGGUGUUCAAAAUUAUUUCCUAGCGCUCCAGUACGGCGUCGCCUCAGCGUAGCAUGGAACAUGAAAACCCAUCAGUCAAGCAGUGA